AUGGCCGAGGACCAUGGAUCGUCGCGGCACAUGUCGUCCAUGUCCAUGUCGCACAAGGAGCUGGGCGACGACGACGCGCGGGUGGUGCAUGUGGGCGACCCGGAGCGCACCAACGAGCGCCUCCAGUUCGCCGGGAACGCCGUGCGCACCGCCAAGUACUCGCCGCUCACCUUCCUGCCGCGGAACCUGUUCGAGCAGUUCCACCGCCUCGCCUACGUCUAUUUCCUCGUCAUCGCCGUGCUCAACCAGCUCCCCCAGCUCGCGGUCUUCGGCCGCGGGGCCUCCGUCAUGCCGCUCGCCUUCGUCCUCGCGGUGACCGCCGUCAAGGACGCGUACGAGGACUGGCGACGCCACCGCUCCGACCGCGCCGAGAAUAACCGCCUCGCCGCUGUCCUGUCCCCCGGCGCGGCCGCCCAAUUCGUCCCCACCGAGUGGAAGCACGUCCGCGUCGGCGACGUCGUGCGGGUCGGUGCCAACGAGUCGCCCCCGGCGGACAUGGUCCUCCUGGCCACCAGCGACACCACCGGCGUAGCCUACGUGCAGACGCUCAACCUUGACGGCGAGUCCAACCUAAAGACUCGCUACGCUAAGCAAGAGACGCUGACGACGCCGCUCGAGCAUCUCGCCGGCGCCGUCGUCAGGUGCGAGCGCCCGAACCGUAACAUUUACGGCUUCCAGGCCAACCUGGAGCUCCAGGGGGAGGGCCGCCGGAUACCGCUGGGCCCGUCCAACAUCGUGCUGCGCGGCUGCGACCUCAAGAACACGUCCUGGGCCGUGGGCGUGGUGGUCUACGCGGGGCGCGAGACCAAGGCGAUGCUGAACAACGCGGGCACGCCGACCAAACGCAGCCGCCUGGAGACGCACAUGAACCGCGAGACGCUCUUCCUCUCCGGCAUCCUCAUCGCGCUCUGCUCGGCCGUGGCCACGCUCUCGGGCGUGUGGCUGCGCACCCACCAGACCGACCUGGAGCUCGCGCAGUUCUUCCAUAAGAAGGACUACCUCAAGGUCGGCAAGGAGGACAACGAGAACUACAACUACUACGGCAUCGCGGCGCAGAUCGUGUUCAACUUCCUCAUGGCGGUCAUCGUGUUCCAGAUCAUGAUACCCAUCUCGCUCUACAUCUCCAUGGAGCUGGUGAGGCUCGGUCAGGCCUACUUCAUGAUCCGGGACGCCAAGCUGUACGACGCGUCGUCCGACUCGAGGUUCCAGUGCAGGGCUCUCAACAUCAACGAGGACCUGGGGCAGGUCAAGUGCGUCUUCUCCGAUAAGACCGGCACGCUGACGCAGAACAAGAUGGAGUUCCGGUGCGCGAGCAUCGACGGCGUCGAUUACAGCGACGUCGCACGGCAGCGACCUGUCGAGGGCGAGCCGGCUUGGGCGCCAAAGGUGCCGGUGAAGGUCGACAGAGAGGUGAUGGAGCUGGUGAGGAACGGGGGUGCUACAGAGCAAGGGAUGAACGCCGGCGAGUUCUUUCUUGCCCUGGCAACGUGCAACACCAUUGUUCCUUUGAUCCUUGAUGAUGGCCCUGACCCAAAGAAGAAGGUGAUUGACUACCAAGGCGAGUCGCCGGACGAGCAGGCGUUGGUUUCUGCCGCCGCGGCCUAUGGCUUUGUGCUCGUGGAGCGAAGCUCCGGGCACAUUGUCAUUGACGUCCUUGGUCAGAAGCAGAGGUUUGACGUCCUUGGUCUUCAUGAGUUUGACAGCGACCGCAAGAGGAUGUCAGUUAUAAUUGGCUGCCCGGACAAGACUAUCAAGCUGUUUGUAAAAGGUGCAGAUAGUUCCAUGUUUGGAAUCAUCGACAAAACACUGAAUCCAGAUGUUGUCCAGGCAACUGAGAAACAUCUCCAUUCAUAUUCGUCAGUCGGCCUGCGAACCCUCGUCAUCGGCGUGCGGGAACUUAGCCAGUCAGAGUUUCAGGAGUGGCAAAUGGCUUACGAGAAGGCUAGCACUGCAUUAUUAGGCAGAGGCAAUCUCCUACGCAGUGUGGCCGCCAACAUUGAAAGGAACAUGCGCCUGCUGGGAGCCUCCGGUGUCGAAGACAAGCUGCAAGAUGGAGUUCCUGAAGCAAUUGAAAAACUAAGGGAAGCAGGGAUUAAGGUUUGGGUUCUGACAGGUGACAAACAAGAAACUGCCAUCUCCAUUGGCUAUUCCUGCAAGCUUUUGACAAGGGACAUGACACAGAUUGUGAUCAACAGUAAUUCAAGAGAGUCGUGCAGAAAAAGUUUGGAUGAUGCAAUCUCCAUGGUAAACAAACUCCGGUCACUGUCUACAGACUCCCAAUCUAGAGUUCCCCUCGCUUUGAUCAUUGACGGUAACAGUCUCGUCUACAUUUUUGACACAGAACGGGAGGAGAAGCUUUUUGAAGUCGCGAUAGCAUGCGAUGUUGUUCUAUGUUGUCGAGUGGCUCCUCUACAGAAGGCUGGGAUUGUUGAUUUAAUAAAGAAGCGAACAAGUGACAUGACUCUAGCUAUUGGAGAUGGUGCAAAUGAUGUAUCCAUGAUCCAAAUGGCCGAUGUUGGCAUUGGCAUCAGUGGUCAAGAAGGAAGGCAAGCUGUGAUGGCUUCAGAUUUUGCCAUGGGGCAAUUUAGAUUUUUGGUCCCACUGUUGUUAGUUCAUGGCCACUGGAACUACCAGAGAAUGAGCUACAUGAUCCUAUACAACUUUUACAGAAAUGCUACUUUUGUCUUUGUGCUUUUCUGGUAUGUACUUUACACUGGUUAUACCCUGUCAACAGCAAUAAAUGAGUGGAGCAGUGUGUUAUACUCUGUGGUCUAUACCUCUGCGCCGACUGUCAUUGUCGCCAUUCUCGACAAGGAUCUGAGUCGAAGGACAUUGCUGAAAUAUCCCCAACUCUACGGUGCGGGGCAGCGCGAGGAGAGUUACAACCUAAGACUGUUCAUUUUCAUCAUGGUGGACUCCGUUUGGCAGAGCCUCGCAGUUUUCUUCAUCCCUUACGCCGCAUACAAAAACAGCGCAAUCGACAGCGCUAGCCUGGGAGACCUGUGGACACUGUCUGUUGUCAUUCUUGUCAACAUUCACCUUGCCAUGGAUGUCAUCAGAUGGACUUGGAUCACUCAUGCAGCAAUAUGGGGCAGUAUUGUGGCGACAUGGAUUUGCGUCAUCAUCAUAGACUCCAUACCCACCUUGCCCGGUUUCUGGGCAAUCUACGAGGUGAUGGGAACUGCAUUGUUCUGGGCGUUGCUUCUUGCGGUGAUUGUGGUUGGAAUGAUCCCUCAUUUUGCCGCAAAGGCCAUCAGGGAACAUUUCAUGCCCAAUGACAUCCAGAUUGCCAGAGAGAUGGAGAAGUCACAAGAUUCUCGUGAUGUUAAUCAUCCAGAAGUCCAGAUGAGUACAUCCACUCGAGCUUAG
Molecule: ribosomal RNA, 3369 nt
Filed under: Triticum aestivum (bread wheat)
Lineage: Eukaryota; Viridiplantae; Streptophyta; Magnoliopsida; Poales; Poaceae
Description: partial small subunit ribosomal RNA
Source: RNAcentral